RNAcentral lists this long non-coding RNA (213 nucleotides) under Elaeis guineensis (African oil palm). Its description in RNAcentral is "long non-coding RNA (EGUI_LNC068962)". The record is from RNAcentral. Lineage: Eukaryota; Viridiplantae; Streptophyta; Magnoliopsida; Arecales; Arecaceae.
ACCUGUAUGCCAUACCAGUGUCUCCACACUCAUUGGUUAAGAGGACAACCAACCUAUAUGGCACACAACGACCUAUGCUUGAUAAACGUUGUCAUCCUUGGUAACAACGUAUCAUUUGAUCGCGAACAGAUUUAAGGACUAAACGACAAAUCCUCCUUUGUCGUGUCUAAAUAGUCCUAAGGACUUCACCACAACAUAGGAGUUCAUUAGAAG